RNAcentral lists this long non-coding RNA (1183 nucleotides) under Homo sapiens (human). Its description in RNAcentral is "HSALNT0090874". The record is from RNAcentral. Lineage: Eukaryota; Metazoa; Chordata; Mammalia; Primates; Hominidae.
AAGUAGAAGUUACUCUCACCUCCAUUGAAUAGAUACAGCUCAAUAAUAACUUAAUUAUACAUUUUUAAAUAACUGAAAGAGUGUAAUUGGAUUAUUUGUAACACAAAGAUAAAUGUUUGAGGGGAGGAAUGCCCCAUUCUCCAUGAUGUGCUUAUUUCGUAUUGCAUGCCUGUAUCAAAACAUCUCAUGUACUCCAUAAAUCUAUACACCUACUAUAUACCCACAACAAUUAAAAAUUAAAUAGGUACAGCUCAGAGAGGUCAUGCGACUUACCCAAGGUCACACAUCUAAUAAAUCAGAAGACUGACGUGAACUUUGGAUACCUGGCUCUGAAGCUGAGUUUGACCUCGACGCUAUACUGUCAAAACAAUUACUGCCAAAAUCUAGACCCUUCACUCCCAAUCUUGACCUCUCCCUAAAUUACUAAAUAAAAUGACCUAAUUUAUUUUCUAUCUUAAUUUUCAAUCACUCAAAGAGUUGAAAAAUCUACUAAUUAUCAUGGUGCUCUGAUUAUGUAUCCUUCAUUUUUAUAUUUAACAAUGAAAAGUAAAUUUCUUAUAUUUCCUGAUACAUAUGACAAUUACCUCAAAUACUAAGACACACAGUUUACCUUAAAUAAUUCUAAUUUCUGCAUUGUUUGUGUGUUGUCUCAUAUUUCUAAGGCAAUAGCCUCUCACUUCUAGAGACUUCAGAAUAUUAUUAUUAUUAUUAAGUAACAUUUACAUAGCACUUUAUAUUGCCAAGUGUUUUACAAUUAAUUCUAGCAGUUGUUCCUCCCAGGAUUCUCCUAAUGUAAGACAGUGGUUUGUUAAAUCCUCUGAAUAGACCACAAAUGAAAAUUAUUUCAAAUAGGUCUAGUGGAACUUUUUCUAAGUUUCAAGACCACUCUUUUGGGUGCUACAAUUAGCAAUGUCUCUCAAGAGCACAACCCAAGAAACAUGGCCAAUGAAAUAAUUAUCAAUUCAAAAAGUUGAUAGUGCUAGAGAAGAAAGCUGCUAAAUCAUGCCUAUGUGCAAGAGAAAUUGUGUCUAAAAUAUUUUUACUGCUGAUUAGUUUCUGCAGUUAGUUGCACAUCAGGCUAAUUUUCUUUCCACUUGCAAUUUUCAAGAAUCUUCACUGUAGGCUAGACUUUGAAUUCCUACUUUAAUGGAAGUUCUAAACAGCUCCUUACUUUGAUACGUAU